Nannospalax galili (Upper Galilee mountains blind mole rat) is the source of this 739-nucleotide long non-coding RNA. RefSeq lists it as uncharacterized. The record is from RefSeq and is a predicted model, not a curated record. Lineage: Eukaryota; Metazoa; Chordata; Mammalia; Rodentia; Spalacidae. The transcript has 5 exons.
UCCUCUGAAGCAGAAACACAGCUUGCAGAUAGAGAAUUGGGACACAGACUGCUCUGGCUUCUUCCAUGCUGAACAGGGAUGCAGGUGUCUUCUAAUUGGCUAGAUCCUCCAAUGGGCAAGGCCUGCUGAUUUUUGGGGAGAGUGGACUAUGAAGGAUCUGCUGGAGCCAUCUUGGGAUUGAAGCCGUGAGCCGUGGGUAGUGUGCAUAAUAUGGGGAAUGGGCAGCCAGCCAUGCAGCAGCUGAAGGACAGAAUGGACUGACUCUUACGGACCUGGGGACACAACUGUGUUAACAUCACUAUCAUCCAUGCUUCAUGACAGCAAGAAAUUCCCCAACCUAGAGAUGUUUGAUUCCAACCAGUUUCUGGAUGAGAAUGGAACUUUAAAAAAACUGACUGCUUCAAAUCUUUCUCAACAGACUCACUGUUGGAGAGGAAUUCUUGAACCAACCUGUUGUUAAAAGCUAAGGAAGCAGGUGUCCUCUGAUGGCAAAAGAAGAUGUUGGAUGCCCUGGAGCUGGAGUUAUUGGCAGUUGUGAGCUGCCAUAUGUGGGUACUGGGAGCCUUACUCUGCAGGAGCAGCAAAUGAUUGUAACUUAGCCACCUCUCCUGCACCAAUGUUUUUGCAUAUGCUUAAAAGUCAAUUAAAAAUAAUCACAUCUCAUUAUUGUAUAGUUUUCUGGAAAAUCAUUUAGUUGAAAAUCAGCUGAUCAUAUAAAACAUAAGUAUUUUAUGUUCAA